Molecule: ribosomal RNA, 355 nt
Filed under: uncultured bacterium
Lineage: Bacteria
Description: bacterial SSU rRNA
Rfam family: Bacterial small subunit ribosomal RNA
Source: RNAcentral
GUAGGUCACAAGCGUUGUCCGGAAUUACUGGGUGUAAAGGGAGCGCAGGCGGGAAGACAAGUUGGAAGUGAAAUCUAUGGGCUCAACCCAUAAACUGCUUUCAAAACUGUUUUUCUUGAGUAGUGCAGAGGUAGGCGGAAUUCCCGGUGUAGCGGUGGAAUGCGUAGAUAUCAGGAGGAACACCAGUGGCGAAGGCGGCCUACUGGGCACCAACUGACGCUGAGGCUCGAAAGUGUGGGUAGCAAACAGGAUUAGAUACCCUGGUAGUCCACACCGUAAACGAUGAUUACUAGGUGUUGGAGGAUUGACCCCUUCAGUGCCGCAGUUAACACAAUAAGUAAUCCACCUGGGGAGU